AGUGAACGCUGGCGGUAGGCCUAACACAUGCAAGUCGAACGGCAGCACAGUAAGAGCUUGCUCUUACGGGUGGCGAGUGGCGGACGGGUGAGGAAUACAUCGGAAUCUACUUUUUCGUGGGGGAUAACGUAGGGAAACUUACGCUAAUACCGCAUACGACCUACGGGUGAAAGCAGUGGAUCUUCGGACCUUGCGCGAUUGAAUGAGCCGAUGUCGGAUUAGCUAGUUGGCGGGGUAAAGGCCCACCAAGGCGACGAUCCGUAGCUGGUCUGAGAGGAUGAUAAGCGACACUGGAACUGGGACACGGUCCAGAGUCCUGAGAGAGGCAGCAGUGGGGAAUAUUGGACAAUAGGCGCAAGCCUGAUCCAGCCAUACCGCGUGGGAGAAGAAGGCCUUCGGGUUGUAAAGCCCUUUUGUUGGGAAAGAAAAGCAGCAGGUUAAUACCCAGCUGUUCUGACGGUACCCAAAGAAUAAGCACCGGCUAACUUCGUG
RNAcentral lists this ribosomal RNA (492 nucleotides) under uncultured bacterium. RNAcentral describes it as "partial 16S ribosomal RNA". It matches the Rfam family "Bacterial small subunit ribosomal RNA", at positions 29 to 507 of the family's 1533-position model. The record is from RNAcentral.